This 447-nucleotide ribosomal RNA is filed under the name uncultured bacterium. Its description in RNAcentral is "bacterial SSU rRNA". It matches the Rfam family "Bacterial small subunit ribosomal RNA", at positions 958 to 1397 of the family's 1533-position model. The record is from RNAcentral.
AACGCGAAGAACCUUACCUGGCCUUGACAUCUAUCGUGAAAGGUGAUGAAAGUCAUCGACGGCCCGAAAGGGUGCUGGGGAUAGACAGGUGCUGCAUGGUUGUCGUCAGCUCGUGUCGUGAGAUGUUGGCUUAAGUGCCGCAACGAGCGCAACCCCUGUGUUUAGUUACCUGCGCAAGCAGGGUCUCUAAACAGACUGCCUCGCUUUAAACGAGGAGGAAGGUGGGGAUGACGUCAAAUCAGUAUGGCCCUUACGGCCAGGGCUGCACACGUGCUACAAUGCUCGGUACAGAGGGACGCAAGACCGCGAGGUGGAGCAAAUCCCAGAAAACCGAGCCCAGUUCAGAUUGGAGGCUGCAACUCGCCUCCAUGAAGCCGGAAUCGCUAGUAAUGGCGCAUCAGCUACGGCGCCGUGAAUACGUUCCCGGGCCUUGUACACACCGGCUAC